RNAcentral lists this ribosomal RNA (682 nucleotides) under uncultured bacterium. Its description in RNAcentral is "bacterial SSU rRNA". It matches the Rfam family "Bacterial small subunit ribosomal RNA", at positions 9 to 686 of the family's 1533-position model. The record is from RNAcentral.
GAGUUUGAUCCUGGCUCAGGAUGAACGCUAGCGGCGGGCCUAAUACAUGCAAGUCGAACGGGAUUGUUGGUAGCAAUACUGACAUGAGAGUGGCGCACGGGUGCGUAACACGUAUGUAACCUACCUUUAACUGGAGAAUAGCUCCGAGAAAUCGAAAUUAAUACUCCAUAAUAUAAAGAAAAGGCAUCUUUUUUUUAUCAAAGUUCCGACGGUUAUUGAUGGACAUGCGGUGCAUUAGCUUGUUGGUGAGGUAACGGCUCACCAAGGCUACGAUGCAUAGGGGGUCUGAGAGGAUGAUCCCCCACACUGGUACUGAGACACGGACCAGACUCCUACGGGAGGCAGCAGUAGGGAAUAUUGGGCAAUGGACGCAAGUCUGACCCAGCCACGCCGCGUGAAGGAUGACGGCCCUAUGGGUUGUAAACUUCUUUUGUAUGGGAAGAACCCCUUCUACGUGUAGAAGGCUGACGGUACCAUAAGAAUAAGCAUCGGCUAACUCCGUGCCAGCAGCCGCGGUAAUACGGAGGAUGCAAGCGUUGUCCGGAUUCAUUGGGUUUAAAGGGUGCGUAGGCGGAGAAUUAAGUCAGUGGUGAAAGCUUACAGCUUAACUGUAAAAAUGCCAUUGAAACUGAUUUUCUUGAGUUCGAUUGAGGUAGAUGGAAUGUAUCAUGUAGCGGUGAAU